CUACCGGCCGACCUCAGCCUCACCCCAUCUCAUCUCACCGGCCGAACCUGCAAACCCAGCAGCCCAGCCCGGCCGGCGACGCUCCCCCGCGCACCAGCACACCUGCUCGCUCCCUGCAGCCACCCGCUACUGCUUUCGCGUCCCUGCAACCCGCCUGCGUAUCAGCCCAGCCUAUUAGCCCAGCCCGAACGCCACCGCCGCCGCAGCGCCCCCGCCACCUGCAGUUUUUCUGCCCACCGCCACCUGCAGACC
RNAcentral lists this long non-coding RNA (252 nucleotides) under Rosa chinensis. RNAcentral's name for it is "sRNA RchiOBHm_Chr2g0146251". Lineage: Eukaryota; Viridiplantae; Streptophyta; Magnoliopsida; Rosales; Rosaceae. The record is from RNAcentral.